UACGUAGGUGGCAAGCGUUGUCCGGAUUUAUUGGGCGUAAAGCGCCCGCAGGCGGCUCGUCGCGUCAGCUGUGAAAUUCCGUGGCUUAACUGCGGGCUUGCAGCUGAUACUGUGCGACUAGAGUGCAGAAGGGGCAACUGGAAUUCUCGGUGUAGCGGUGAAAUGCGUAGAUAUCGAGAGGAACACCUGCGGCGAAGGCGGGUUGCUGGGCUGACACUGACGCUGAUGCGCGAAAGCCAGGGGAGCGAACGGG
This 253-nucleotide ribosomal RNA is filed under the name uncultured bacterium. RNAcentral describes it as "partial 16S ribosomal RNA". It matches the Rfam family "Bacterial small subunit ribosomal RNA", at positions 524 to 776 of the family's 1533-position model. The record is from RNAcentral.